CAAUAGCGUAUAUUAAAGUUGUUGCAGUUAAAAAGCUCGUAGUCGGAUUUUGGCAUCAUGCCGAACUGUCAGCCGAUUGGUUUGUACGGUUUGGCGGGUGCUCUCCUUCCGGAGGCUCGUUUCCUCUUUCAUUAGAGGGUUCGAUGGUUCCGGGUCUUUUACUUUGAAAAAUUAAGAGUGUUCAAAGACAGGCCUAUGCUCUGAAUAGGUUAGCAUGGAAUAAUAGAAUAGGACUUUGGUUCUAUUUUGUUGGUUUCUAGGACCGAAGUAAUGAUUAAUAGGGACAGUUGGGGGCGAUUUUUAUUUCCAUUGUCAGAGGUGGAAAUUACUUGGAUUAAACGGAAGAAAAACUAACUGCGAAAGCAUCUGCCAAGGAUGUUUUCUAUUGAUCAAGAACGAAAGUUAGGGGAGUCGAAGAUGAUCAGAUACCAU
This 432-nucleotide ribosomal RNA is filed under the name uncultured eukaryote. RNAcentral describes it as "bacterial SSU rRNA". It matches the Rfam family "Eukaryotic small subunit ribosomal RNA", at positions 592 to 1018 of the family's 1831-position model. The record is from RNAcentral.